Molecule: small nuclear RNA, 193 nt
Organism: Myodes glareolus (Bank vole)
Lineage: Eukaryota; Metazoa; Chordata; Mammalia; Rodentia; Cricetidae
Product: U2 spliceosomal RNA
Source: RefSeq, a predicted model, not a curated record
AUCACUUCUCUGCCUUUUGCCUAACAUAAAGUAUAUAAUAUCUGUUCUUUAAAGUUUAAUAUCUUGUAUGUCCUCUGUGCAAGGACAAUAAAUUAAAUGGAGUUUUGGAGCUUGGAGAUGAUAUAAAAUUUGUUUCAAGCACUAUAUACAGAGAUCUGACAUUUGCAUAUCCUCUAGGACUGGUGUCUACUCU